CCCCAGAGGACAUUGUCCUGUUCC
RNAcentral lists this non-coding RNA (24 nucleotides) under Cricetulus griseus (Chinese hamster). Lineage: Eukaryota; Metazoa; Chordata; Mammalia; Rodentia; Cricetidae. The record is from RNAcentral.